RNAcentral lists this ribosomal RNA (497 nucleotides) under uncultured bacterium. RNAcentral describes it as "partial 16S ribosomal RNA". It matches the Rfam family "Bacterial small subunit ribosomal RNA", at positions 28 to 507 of the family's 1533-position model. The record is from RNAcentral.
GAUGAACGCUGGCGGCGUGCCUAAUACAUGCAAGUCGAGCGAACAGACGAGGAGCUUGCUCCUCUGACGUUAGCGGCGGACGGGUGAGUAACACGUGGAUAACCUACCUAUAAGACUGGGAUAACUUCGGGAAACCGGAGCUAAUACCGGAUAAUAUAUUUAACGGCAUGGUUCAAAAGUUAAAGACGGUUUUGCUUUAGCUUUUGGAUGGUUCCGGGCUGCAUUAGUUAGUUGGUAAGGUAACGGCUUACCAGGGCGCCGAUGCGUAGCCGACCUGAGAGGGUGAUCGGCCACACUGGAACUGAGCCACGGUCCAGACUCCUACGGGAGGCACAAGUAGGGAAUCUUCGGCAAUGGGCGAAAGCCUGACGGAGCAACGCCGCGUGAGUGAUGAAGGUCUUCGGAUCGUAAAACUCUGUUAUUAGUGAAGAACAAUUGUGUAAGUAACUAUGCACGUCUUGACGGUACCUAAUCAGAAAGCCACGGCUAACUACGUG